RNAcentral lists this ribosomal RNA (253 nucleotides) under uncultured bacterium. RNAcentral's name for it is "partial 16S ribosomal RNA". It matches the Rfam family "Bacterial small subunit ribosomal RNA", at positions 524 to 776 of the family's 1533-position model. The record is from RNAcentral.
UACGGAGGGGGCUAGCGUUGUUCGGAAUUACUGGGCGUAAAGCGCACGUAGGCGGCGAUCUAAGUCAGAGGUGAAAGCCCGGGGCUCAACCCCGGAACUGCCUUUGAGACUGGAUUGCUAGAAUCACGGAGAGGUGGGUGGAAUUCCGAGUGUAGAGGUGAAAUUCGUAGAUAUUCGGAAGAACACCAGUGGCGAAGGCGGCCCACUGGACGUGUAUUGACGCUGAGGUGCGAAAGCGUGGGGAGCAAACAGG